AUACGGAGGAUGCAAGCGUUAUCCGGAUUUAUUGGGUUUAAAGGGUGCGUAGGCUGACGUGUAAGUCAGAGGUGAAAUCUCCGGGCUCAACCUGGGAACUGCCUUUGAUACUGCAUGUCUGGAGUUCGGAUGCCGUGGGAGGAAUGGGCAGUGUAGCGGUGAAAUGCAUAGAUAUUGCCCAGAACACCGAUUGCGAAGGCAUCUCACGAAUCCGACACUGACGCUGAGGCACGAAAGCGUGGGGAUCAAACAGGAUUAGAUACCCUGGUAGUCCACGCAGUAAACGAUGAUAACUAACCGUCGGCGAUAGACAGUCGGUGGCCAAGCGAAAGCGAUAAGUUAUCCACCUGGGGAGUACGUUCGCAAGAAUGAAACUCAAAGGAAUUGACGGGG
RNAcentral lists this ribosomal RNA (393 nucleotides) under uncultured bacterium. RNAcentral describes it as "partial 16S ribosomal RNA". It matches the Rfam family "Bacterial small subunit ribosomal RNA", at positions 523 to 918 of the family's 1533-position model. The record is from RNAcentral.